RNAcentral lists this long non-coding RNA (210 nucleotides) under Nicotiana benthamiana. Its description in RNAcentral is "long non-coding RNA (NBEN_LNC024713)". The record is from RNAcentral. Lineage: Eukaryota; Viridiplantae; Streptophyta; Magnoliopsida; Solanales; Solanaceae.
CAGGACUCCUCCUCCGCACAUGCCCGAACCCCCUCAGCCUCGCUUCUCGCAUCUUCUCAUCCAACGGGGUCACCCCCACCUUCUCUCGAAUAUCUUCAUUCUUAAUCUUAUCUAACCUGGUGAGCCCGCAUAUCCACCUAAGCAUCUUCAUCUCCGCAACCUUCAUUCUCUGAACAUGAGAGUUCUUCACUGGCCAACACUCCGCCCCAN